GGCGGGAUGACAUUUGUGGUAGCAGUGCCCCUGGAUAUAAGGUCAGUGAAUUAGAUGCAAGCCAGACUUCAAAUUUGGAAUUUGGCACGGCUUGUAAUUGGUUCCUUUUCCUGCCAGGUGGGGAGAAUUGACCAUUAGAAGGCUCCAUGUUUCCUAAUUUCAGCGCCAUCACUUUUUGAAAUCUCUUCCUGCAUUGAAAUCAACUCUUGCCCCCCACUCUCCCCACUGACAUAUGGCUCCUUCUCUUCUGAUGUUUGAAACUUUUGUUGAAAUAUGUCCCUUUGGCUCUGUUAUCGUCACAGUUCAUGAGCUGUUUCCGAUAAUAAAAAAAAAUUCCACAAGGCUGUUGGGCACACACACAUAAAUCCCCAUGUUUUGCUCACACCCACAUAGAUAUAUAAUAUUCCAAGAGAAGUGUGCUGAAGCGAAGGCUGAUGCUGAUUACUAGGAGGGCAGGAGGGAGGGGAAGUAAAGUGAUCCCAAUAAAAAGCAAUAGUACAGAACUAAAAAGCAUAAAUACAGACAGGAAUCAAUGAAUAUUUGGCAAGCCAUUUUCCUUCUUAAAUAGGUGACAGAAUGCAUUACAGAAGUAUUUUCUCUCUCUGCCUCCGCUGAAGUGUACUAAAAGCCUACCUUAUUGGCGCUAACCCAAUAAGCUUAUUUUUAUAGAGGGAAAGAUAGACAUAAAUCUAGAAUAAUUCAUUGGGAGUUCUUUCUCAGAACCUUUAAAACAGAGAAGCAAUGUUUCUUUUUUGGUUUGGUUUCUCUCUCCCUCUCCCUCUCCCUCUCCCUCUCUCUCUCACUUACACAGCCAUAUUAGUGGGGGAGUUUUCCUUUAGCCAAGAGCAGCGAUGGCUGAAUGAAACUCUCAUGUACAGGGGCAGUCUACCUCUAAAUGCCAGGUUCCCAGGGGCAAAUAGCAGGAAGACUAUCACAUUCAUGUUCUGCUUCUGAGCAUCCAGAAGCAUCAGACUGGCUGUUAUUAAGACACAAUGGUGAACUAGAAAUAUAUUGACUUGACCAAGCAAGCCUUGCAAUCUUGUUUCAAUUAAACUAUCUCAUAAUCUAGGAUAAGUAGCCUAGUUUGGCAAUGCUGGUGCCUGCAUGAUGUCCAAGGGUGUGUGUGUGUGUGUGUGUGUGUGUGUGUGUGUGUGUUAUUCACUGUUUAUCCUCAUUUGCCCUUUGCAUUCUGCUUUCCAAUGGACAUUUUCCUCUCGGCAGGAGGGGGAGAAGGAACCAGGCAUGCCCAAUAAAGAGAUAACUUGUCAUUCCAUCUCAUCUGUGGCCAUUCAUCCAACAAAAUGUCUCUUGCACGUGAAGGAGCUGUGAAUGGAGGCAAUUGUUGUAUUAUUCAACACUAUGUACAGCAUCUUCCCCAUGUGCCGUUUAUGCCUUCUCUGUUUUUGAAACUGUCCCAAUCCUGGUUGCAUGGAAUUGCAGGGCUGAGCAGCAGUCAGGAGAAGAUCUUGCUCCCUUCCCAUCUGUUCCAAUUGUUUUCAAGUACUUCAAGGCAAAUGGCAAUAGGCCUGUGCAAAGAGUUCAAAUCAGAGCCAACAUGAGUGCCAGCAGAAUUGUGCUGGCAAGAACUGGAAGGAUGGUGGUUGCCCUCUCUAGAGUAGAUUCCCAGUAGAUUUUGGCAAAGUUGUUUUGUCUAAAUCUAUGCCCAACAAGCUGCUUGGCUAUUGUUUUGGUUCCAUUCAACUAUGAUUGAGAAUGUUCUUACACAAUAAGGAGUUAUGAAAGGGCAGGGGAAGACUUUGGAUAAUCCUUCAUGAAACAUGUCUUUGCUUUUAAAUGAAGAACAAGGUUUUAGAAAACAGCAUGCAUGACAUCUAAAAAAUUUAAAACGCAGCACUGCAGGUUUAGGUGCAAAUUCUGAGCAAUCUCAUCAAUGGCUUCUAAUGUUACUAUGCUCUAGUAAUUUGGCUUCUCCCAAACAGGAUCCACAUUGUGUAGACAAACACACACAUUGCUUAUGAGAGCCUGGAUGAUGUAGUGGGUGGAAUGGAAAGCAUCCACUGAGGAAAUCUGGGUUCAAGUCCCUGUUCAGCUAUGAUGGUUACUGGGUGUCCUUACUGGGUGUCCUUUGAUUAAAUGUUCUGAUAAGGGAUGAGGAACAGUAUUGUGGAGAGGGGAUUGGGCGCAUGGUCCUCUAACCCAGAUGACUUCAAUCCUGCUUUCUACAGGGGAACUUGGUCAAAGAGCUAGCUGCAUCUCUACCUACCCCACAGCUAAUGUCACAUGUGAAGUCACAAUGUGUGGCAGUUGGGAAUGGUUUGGGGGAAAUGGCCUUGUGGGCCAAAUUGGGAUCCAUGCUGGGCUAAAUUAGGCCUGUGGAUUGGAGGUUCUCCACCUCUGUUGUCAUGCAUAGAUCAAGGCUAGGGAAUCUGUGGCCGAGAUGUUGUUGAACUACAGCUCCUAUCAUCACUGACCAUCAGCCAUGCUGCCUGGGGCUGAUGAGAGUUUGAGAAAAGCAACAUCUUGAGGGCUGCUGGUUCCCUAGCCUGGUACAGAUCAUGCUUGUGCACUUUGGGCUCAUUAUGAAAGCAUAAUUACUCAUGUUAUCAGGGUUGCCGCUUGCACAUUGCUCCAAAGAAGAAAUCAAUCACCAAAGAAAGAGGGUGAAAGAGUAUACAGCAGGCAUAGGCAAACUCGGCCCUCCAGAUGUUUUGGGACUAUAACUCCCACCAUCCCUAGCUAACAAGACCAGUGGUCAGGGAUGAUGGGAAUUGUAGUCCCAAAACAUCUGGAGGGCCGAGUUUUCCUAUGCCUGGUAUACAGCAGAACUCAUCAUAAUGAAAUAGGCUGUGGCCAUGGGACCAGUGUGCUUGCUUAGUUUGCUUCCUAGAUGCUGUUGAUGUGAAACUCCAAGUCCCUUCUCUCCUUUCUUUCUCUUUACACCAGACUUCGUUCAAACAGCCCUUGAAACAAAGUCUCUGUUAAGUAGGGCACAUGAUCAGGCUAACAUGAAGCCAUUGUGAUGGUGUAGCCAUGUUGGAUGGAGAGAGCAACUUUGACCAAAUGUGUCUAGGACACACCUUUUAGUCUAAGGGGAUGUUCACAAGUUACAUUAGAUGAUGGUAUGGACUAUGUGCACAAACAAUUAAGUUGUACACACAUAUAGUAAUUCACAUGUAAUGUUUAAUGGGUGGUACUCUCUGUACCUGUGUACACAACAGUUCAACUGAACAGGUCAAAGAGUGUACACUCUUCCACACAAGCAUUUGUACAUGUGUAGAGACAGCUUGUUAUCGGUGUUCAGUAUAAUGUGUGAACAAGCUCUAAACUGCCUAAGAGGACGAUGAAAUACAGAUAACCCCUAUGUAAGUCACCUUGUGCUCUUCGGAGAAAGGAUGGGAUGCAAAUCUGAAAUAGAUAGAUAGAUAGAUAGAUGAUGAUAGAUAGAUAGAUAGAUAGAUAGAUAGAUAGAUAAUGUUUUCUGUGUUGAUUUUUAUUGUACAAGAUGCUUUACAAUGCUUAUUUUUUUAUUCUCACAGCUCCUAUGAUAUGGUUUGGGCUGAGAGACAAUGACUUGCCUUAAACCACCACAUAAGAUUGGCUGCUGAAUCCCCUCACUGAAAUGAAGAUGUUUAAGGGCAGCUUGUAUUGUAUUGUAUUGUGGACAUGUAUUGUGGCUCAGCUGUUGGUUUCUCGAAAGAAUGCCUCUCGAAAAGGCCUCAUCACCUUCGACAUCUUUUUCAUUCAUUCACAUCUGUCAUCAGGUUCUUUGCCAAGCAAGUGAGGGAAUGCAAAAUGUCACCAUGAGUUGUAUUGUAAAGGCACUUCAACACAUGAAGCUUCUGGGAUGAAAGCAUGCAAAAUGCUAAGUCAAGGCUUAAUGCUCACCAAGGCCAUAGUACUCUGUGAUGUCAUAGGCCUGAGGCAGUUAUUUCAGUUGGUACAGUUAUGGCAGUUAUUAACAGCCUGCCUCAGAGUUAGUCCAUCUGUAACAGUUUUUAUCUUAGAUACAAAUCUAUGUAAUAUGUAUUAGUACCAUAAGUAACAGCUGGCUUGUAUAUUUAAUCAAACAAGUGCAAGCACACUGAGCAAAAAUUAUUUAUUUAAACUUACUGUCUUGCAUAGUUUUUAUAGGAGGGAAAAGGGAACUAAUUAAAGAGUCAAAUGACCUGGGCUCUGUUCUGCAGAACUCUGUAAAAGGGAAUAAGAGUUUAAUUCCCACAAGGCCUAGGGCUGUUUGUCUGUAAUCAAAAUUUUAAACCUAUACUGGCCAAAAUGCUCAGCUCCCUCACCUGUACAAUACCCUCUCCUUUUCUUCUUCCCUAUUCACCUUUGUGUCAGCCAUUCACACAAAUAUAUACUUAAGACUCAGUGGUGAACAUCAGGCAUGAAUUGUGAAACUUAUAUUUAUUUGGGGGGGCUGAGAUGAUGGUGGUGAUGAUUUACUGGAUAAUUAUUAUUUUUUUAUCUGCCUUCCACCAUAAGGUCCCAGGGCAGGUAAAAGUACAAUAUAAAAAUACAUUAAAAUCAGUUAAAACAAUUUCAAAUAAGAAUAGUGUGUGUGUGUGUGUGUGUGUGUGUGUGUGUGUGUGUGUGUGUGUGAAGGUGCCAGACAUGCCUCUGCAGGGAGGGAUUCCACACCUUAAGGCAGUGAUGGCCAAACUUGGCCCUCCAGCUGUUUUGGGACUACAAUUCCCAUCAUCCCUGUCCACUGGUCCUGUUAGCUAGUGGUGAUGAGAGUUGUAGUCCAAAAACAGCUGGAGGGCCAAGUUUGGACAUCACUGCCUUAAGGAAUGCCCUCUCUCAGGUCACCCCAUUCUCGUGUUCUGACUGUGGCAGAACCUCCAAGACCUCAGCACCUAAGACAGUCUAGAGGUGGUCCUUCAGAUGUUUGAGACUUAAGACAUUUACGGCUUUAAACAUUAACAUUAACAGAAAUGAACAGACAGUCAAGUGCAGCUAUUUACAGUAAAAUGGGGUCUGUGUGAGUUCUAAAUGAAACCUGGAUUGAUUUGGGAGCAAGAUGAAGGCAGAAGCACACAUUGGGCUUAUCCACUCUUACUGUUUGCUCUGCAGUUUCUAGGCACAGGCCCAAACUUAAAGCUCUGUGUCUGAGUGCUCUUUAGAGCUGAAGCACAACAAAUGAGAAAUUGGGUUUUCUGUGCAUUUCUGUUUGCUCCAAUUCAGCAGUAAAGAGUGGGUUUUCACAGGGAAAGCACCAGAGAGAGAAACACACACUCAGACACAGAGCUUUAAAUUCCAGAGGAAAGGUAAGUGUAGAUAAACCCAUUAUGGUAGUGUUGUGAUUCCCUUUUGGGCUGGCACGGAAGAGGACUUAAAUCUUUCCCUAGUGCAAAUUUCCCACCAAGAAUCCAACCACCAGCUCUAUUUACACUAGUUGAGAUAAAAUAAUAAUAAUAAUAAUAAUAAUAUAAUAAUAAUAAUAAUAAUAAUAAUAAUAAUAAUAAUAAUAAUAAUUUAUUAUUUAUACCCCAUCCAUCUGGCUUGGUUUUCCCAGCCACUCUAUAAAAACACUUGCAGGAGGAAUUUUCAACAAUAAAAUGAGAGGAAAAUUUUCAACAAUAAAAUGAGAGGAAAAGCCAUUAGAGACCUCCUACACCAGUCACUCAAUUCAAAUUUCAGCCAUAACAACUGUUGGUUUUAUUUGCUGCCCCCUUUCCUUACUAAACAACCACAUUAUUCUGUCCCAAGUUGAUGAGAAGACACAAUCCUUUGACGUUCAUAGAGCAAUUCCUUAGUUUGAUGUGCAAACAUUUUUUCGUUUUGCUCCUGUCUAAUAUGGCUACUCUUUUGGAAGUUCUUAUGACAUUCAUCCUGCUCCCAUACAAUACUAAACCCAUGAGCUCAAAUGUAAACAAUCAAAAUCCAUGGCCCUUUGCCCUCCCCAGAGAGCUUUGUACUUUAAAAUCUCAAAAAACAGAAAGGGAUAGAGAAAGAACAAAAACUAUACUUUCCUUUUAUCACAGGAUUAUCAAGGCUUGGCUUGUGGCUUUAGUGCAUCUGAGAUUGGCAUCUUAAUGCUAAGCAGGUAAGAAUCAAGCUGUGUGGAGCAUUCACAUAUUGGAUUCAGCCAAGAGAGCCAUAUAGUUGUAGGUAAGCUAUUGACUUUUAAAUAUCUCUUAAUGUUACAUUCAUUUAGAAAUGUGCUCUUAAGCAAUUUCGCUGUAAUCCACCAGGCCUUCUAGUUUACAUUUAUCUGUAUAGGUAAAGAGGUUUUGUUUGCAUUUAGUAAUGAUUCAACCAUUAGUUUGAUUGAGCAAUGGCUAGGUUUUAGUUCCUCCUGGCAGUUAUUGGGCAAUUCAUUUGACCAUUUCUGAAAGUGUGGCUAUCACUCCGGCUUGUGCAAAGGUGAUGAUUGUGUGUCUUCUCGGAGGUGUACUGGAGGAGCAAUCAUUUCCUCCAAGGGUGCUGCAUGGAACAACAGACAGAGAAAAUGCCACAAUUAAAAAUCCAAGCUGCAGCAGAGUGGGAGAUGAAGAUUGGCAAGAUUUAUGAGGCAACCGCAUGAGAUAGAGAGAGAGAGAGAGUCCAGGCAAGAUGGCUUCACUGAUCUCACUGAUACCACUAAUUGAAACACUGCUGCUACCUAAUCACUGGAGACUUGGCAGGACCUUACAUAUCUAAACUGCCUUAAACUGGGAUAGGACACUGGUUCUUCCAGCUCAGUAUUUUCUAAAUGCUCACUGGCAGUGGCUCUUUGGGGUUUCAGAGAGAGGAAUUUGCCAUGACAGGUGCAUGACAUCUGCAGCUGAUGCAGGGUGAACCAAAAGAAUGGCCUCCCCUGAUUGGACUUGUGGGUGAGGCCCGCCCUGACUGGAGGGUCCAACAUGGCUGGAGGUGGAUGGCACCAGGUGGCCAUUCCCUUCCCCAGCCAUGCAAAACCAGCCAUGGUUGCACUGUGUGGCAAACACACCUUCCUCCUGAGCCCCAGGUGAGCAGCUAUUCCUACUUGAAGAUGCCAGAAAUUGAACCAGGAACUGCCUGCAUGAAGAACACAUGGUCCACCAAUAGCUACAGUCACUUCCUGAUCAUCCAGCCCCUGUGCUGAAGUGUAUUGUUGAGACACUUCCUGGCUCAGUGGAUUGAGUUGCAGGUGACCUGUAUUAUAUAGGAUUCCCAAGGUAAUGUUCGCCUAUAAUAUAGAGGACAUUUUCAGGAUAGAAACAUUAUGCGGUACUUAACAUUUCCCUGGGUGCUAUUUUUCUUGGCAAACCCUUCUCUCUAUUUCUGAGAGAAAAACAACCCGGGAUAAGGUAUUUUGCGGAAGAAAAGCAAUAUAUGAGAGAAGAGUUAACUAAACCCCUCCUACUUACUACUUUUCCACUACGAACACCCUCUCCACUUUGCAUUGGAAAUUCUGUGUUUUGUCACCAAGCAUCUAAUUCCAGCCUUAAUGGAUAUUUUUGAAAGUCAGUAAGUCACCCCAGGUGUUAUAUUGAGGAAAUGUAUGGAACUGUUGAAGGAAUAGAGACACAGAGAAGCAUAUGUACAAAAAAGGUUAAUAAAGUAAGACAUUUCUUUGCUUAUCUUUGUUAUAUUGUCAAGGCUUUAUUUUGUAGGCUUACAUGACUGGUAUUACAACUAUCCCUGUGACAAUAGAAGGUGGUAAAUUCAAUAAUGACUAUUCUUCCUGAAAUUGUUUUGCCCCACACAGGAGAUGUAGCAUUUAAAGAGGAGCAGAUACAAAAGUGUGACUUCUAUAGCGGCAUUUGGAAAAGCAAUUGCAAAGGCAGACAAUGUGGAAUGGAACAGAAUGUGUAUUAUCUUUUAAUAAGUUAGAAUGACAUAUGGACUCACUGAAAUUUCUUAUACACCUGGAGUUUCAUGGACGAAACAGGCUGUUUGGUGAGCUAUAGGUUUAUAUGUGCGCACCAAAGUCUACACUGGCAGUAAAGUUUGCGCUGGUGCACUGUUUCUAAGGUGAUUGUCAGGAAGGAGGAAGACCGUCUGUUAUCGCACAAAAAGACUAAUAUUCAAAUAAUAGGUAAAUAAUAAUAAUAAUAAUAAUAAUAAUAAUUUAUUUAUAUCCUCCCCUCCCCAGCCAAAGCUGGGCUCAGAGUGGCUAACAACAAUAAAAUUAACACAGAAUUCUAAAAUAAAUUCAUUCUAAAUCUUUUAGGAAGAACCUGCCUUAUACAGAACUAGACAAUUGGUCCAUCUAGCUCAGUAUUAUCUACUUUGCUCAGAACCACAAUACCUCAAGGACUGCCUUUCCCCAUAUGAACCAACCUGGACACAGUGAUCAUAAUUUGAGACCCUUAUUCAUGUGUCUCCUCUAUGAGAGGUCCAGAGAGUGGCAAUAUGAGAACGGGCCUUUUUUGCCAUGACUCCCCACUUGUGGGAUGCUCUCCCCAGGGAGGCUCGCCUAGUACCUUCGUUACAUAUCUUUAAGCAAAAACAUUCCUCUUCUCCCUGGCCUUUGACUAAUUAAGCAAUCUAUGGCUUUUUAAACUUGGGGGGUAUUUUUUGCUACUAUGGUAUUCAUUUUAUGGUUUUGUAUUGUAAACUGUAUAUAAUAAUAAUACUCUGACUAGCAGUGGUUCUUCACGUUUCAGAUUUUCAGAUAAGGGGCAUUCCAAGCCGUAUCUGGAGAUGUCAGGGACUGAACCAGAGAUAUUUUGUCUACAAAGCAGAUGAUGUACCACUCUUGGAAAGAUAAUGUUAUAGAAGACUCUUCUAACAUUUUAUAUAAAAGCACAGCUCCAAUAAUGCAUCACACUUACACCUCUACCUUACCCUUCUGCCUUUACACUGCCCCCCCCCCCAAUAUGAAGAACUAAAGCCCUUGGCAGACUAGCACAUUGCUUAGCAGAUCAUAGCUAUAACAGGCAUGUCCAACUUUCAAGGGACUACGAUCUACUCCACUAUAAAAAAACUGGCAGUGAUCUACCAAAGUUGUUGAGCUUUUCUUUAGGAAGCAAAAGUUUUCUCGGGGGGGGGGUGUCAGCAUCCCAUGAUCAACCCACAGUCAACAAUGGGGGGACCCCCCCCCCAUGAUCGACCAGUAGAUCGUGAUCAACCUGUUGGAUAUCCCUGCCCUAUAAUAGUACUAAGAGGAUUUUCCAUAGCACAAUUCCCUGUGUUUCCUAUCAGGCCACUAUGCUUAGUUCUUCCCUUUUGGAGCUGAUCCACUGAUACACAAGGGACUAAGUGGAGCAUAUUAAUUGUGGGCAGCUGUCUGAAUUUGUCCCCACUGAGUUCAUUGUGACAUGCUCCAGGUUAAUGUAUAAAGGAUUGCAGCCUUCGUCAAGAAAUGUCUGAAAAACAUAUUUUCUCCUUCUUGUCUCAAUGAUCUGGUUGUGACAUCACAUUACAUGACCAAGCCCCAGGCUGAUGCAGUCCCACUUUCCCUUCUCCGGCAUGUAAGGAGUGGAUCAGAAUGUAUCACUGUCAUUUUCAGUUGAGUACAGUUUAAUGUUUUGUCUGAAACCUUGUUGGCUUGUUUCAGUACGUUAUAGUUAAGAGCAGCAAUGUAAGGAGGCAUUGUUUUACAUUUUGCCCUGUAUUCAUCACAUGCAGCACUGCUUCUGCUCUGCUACAGAACAUCUUCCGCCCAACACUACAGUAUUCAUUUUACUGUCUGCUGUGGUGAGAUUAUGGGAAUUACAUAAAUUACACUGCCAUCACGUUAUUCUACCCCAUUCAUUUUGAUGCAAAGGAGACACAAUGCAAAUGGUGGCGGGAGGGAUAAUCAGUUAUGUAACAUUUGCACACCAAAAUCAAACCCUGAUCAAAUUCACUGGAUUGAUUUUUGUUCUGGAUAUGGGAUGAAUAAGAGAUCAUCAACAAUUUCUGUUCCCAUUUCUGUUUACAUCCAUAUUCUCCAACAUUCCUGGUUAAUCUAACCACAGUUUCCUCAGCUUCUCACAUAAUGAUAAGCUGCAGUUAAUUAAAAACAAAAGAAAACGUAUGUAAAAGCUUCUCAUCUCUUCCUUGUGUCCACACUGGAGGAUGCAGGUAGGCCUUUGCUCAUGCACAUCAGGCUAAAAUAUAAAACUCUGUCCAAACACAACCAAUGAAUGGUCUGCCAAAUUAAUUUCUGAUUUCCAGCCUUAAACUAUUUAACAAAGCAAACAGAUGUAUUCUUAUAUAAAAUUCUUAAUUGUAACCAG
Podarcis lilfordi (Lilford's wall lizard) is the source of this 10091-nucleotide non-coding RNA. NCBI's taxonomy places the organism in Eukaryota, Metazoa, Chordata, Lepidosauria, Squamata, Lacertidae. The record is from the annotation of a GenBank genome assembly.